Molecule: ribosomal RNA, 472 nt
Filed under: uncultured bacterium
Lineage: Bacteria
Description: bacterial SSU rRNA
Rfam family: Bacterial small subunit ribosomal RNA
Source: RNAcentral
CUCUGUGACUCCUACGGGAGGCAGCAGUGGGGAAUAUUGCACAAUGGGGGAAACCCUGAUGCAGCCAUGCCGCGUGUGUGAAGAAGGCCUUCGGGUUGUAAAGCACUUUCAGUAGGGAGGAAGGUAGUGUAGUUAACACCUGCACUAUUUGACGUUACCUACAGAAGAAGCACCGGCUAACUCCGUGCCAGCAGCCGCGGUAAUACGGAGGGUGCGAGCGUUAAUCGGAAUUACUGGGCGUAAAGCGCAUGCAGGCGGCCUGUUAAGUCAGAUGUGAAAGCCCGGGGCUUAACCUCGGAAUUGCAUUUGAAACUGGCAGGCUAGAGUCUUGUAGAGGGGGUAGAAUUUCAGGUGUAGCGGUGAAAUGCGUAGAGAUCUGAAGGAAUACCAGUGGCGAAGGCGGCCCCCUGGACAAAGACUGACGCUCAGAUGCGAAAGCGUGGGUAGCGAACAGGAUUAGAUACCCUGGUAG